AGAGUUUGAUCCUGGCUCAGGACGAACGCUGGCGGCGUGCUUAACACAUGCAAGUCGAGCGGUAAGGCCCUUUCGGGGGUACACGAGCGGCGAACGGGUGAGUAACACGUGGGUGACCUGCCCUCAGCUCUGGGAUAAGCCUGGGAAACUGGGUCUAAUACCGGAUAUGACUCCAUGACGCAUGUUGUGGGGUGGAAAGCCUUGUGCGGCUGGGGAUGGGCCCGCGGCCUAUCAGCUUGUUGGUGGGGUGAUGGCCUACCAAGGCGACGACGGGUAGCCGGCCUGAGAGGGCGACCGGCCACACUGGGACUGAGACACGGCCCAGACUCCUACGGGAGGCAGCAGUAGGGAAUCUUGCGCAAUGGGCGAAAGCCUGACGCAGCGACGCCGCGUGAGGGAUGACGGCCUUCGGGUUGUAAACCUCUUUCAGCUCCGACGAAGCGAAAGUGACGGUAGGAGCAGAAGAAGCACCGGCCAACUACGUGCCAGCAGCCGCGGUAAUACGUAGGAUGCAAGCGUUGUCCGGAAUUAUUGGGCGUAAAGAGCUCGUAGGCGGUCUGUCGCGUCGGCUGUGAAAACUUGGGGCUCAACUCCGAGCUUGCAGUCGAUACGGGCAGGCUAGAGUUCGGCAGGGGAGACUGGAAUUCCUGGUGUAGCGGUGAAAUGCGCAGAUAUCAGGAGGAACACCGGUGGCGAAGGCGGGUCUCUGGGCCGAUACUGACGCUGAGGAGCGAAAGCGUGGGGAGCGAACAGGAUUAGAUACCCUAGUAGUCC
This 774-nucleotide ribosomal RNA is filed under the name uncultured bacterium. RNAcentral describes it as "bacterial SSU rRNA". It matches the Rfam family "Bacterial small subunit ribosomal RNA", at positions 8 to 796 of the family's 1533-position model. The record is from RNAcentral.